UCAGGUGGCCGCAGAGAAUAGGCCCAAGCGACUGUUUACCAAAAACAUAGGUUUCUGCUAAGUCGCAAGACGAUGUAUAGGAGCUGACGCCUGCCCGGUGCUGGAAGGUUAAGGGGAUCUGUUAGAGCAAUCGAAGCAGUGAACUUAAGCCCCAGUAAACGGCGGCCGUAACUAUAACGGUCCUAAGGUAGCGAAAUUCCUUGUCGGGUAAGUUCCGACCCGCACGAAAGGCGUAACGAUUUGGGCACUGUCUCAACAACAGACUCGGUGAAAUUGUAAUUCCGGUGAAGAUGCCGGAUACCUGCGACAGGACGGAAAGACCCCAUGGAGCUUUACUGUAGCUUGACAUUGGGUCUUGGUACUACAUGUACAGGAUAGGUGGGAGGCUUUGAAACCAGGACGCCAGUUUUGGCGGAGCCAUCCUUGGGAUACCACCCUUGUAGUACUGGGACUCUAACCAUAGGCCAUGAAUCUGGUCUUGGGACACUGUCAGGUGGGCAGUUUGACUGGGGCGGUCGCCUCCCAAAAGGUAACGGAGGCGCUCAAAGGUUCUCUCAGUACGGUCGGAAAUCGUACGUAGAGUGUAAAGGCAAAAGAGAGCUUGAUUGCAAGACAUACAGGUCGAGCAAGGAUGAAAAUCGGACUUAGUGAUCCGGUGGUUCUGCGUGGAAGGGCCAUCGCUCAACGGAUAAAAGCUACCCUGGGGAUAA
RNAcentral lists this ribosomal RNA (710 nucleotides) under Clostridioides difficile. RNAcentral describes it as "partial 23S ribosomal RNA". It matches the Rfam family "Bacterial large subunit ribosomal RNA", at positions 1769 to 2477 of the family's 2925-position model. The record is from RNAcentral. Lineage: Bacteria; Bacillati; Bacillota; Clostridia; Peptostreptococcales; Peptostreptococcaceae.